Molecule: ribosomal RNA, 254 nt
Filed under: uncultured bacterium
Lineage: Bacteria
Description: partial 16S ribosomal RNA
Rfam family: Bacterial small subunit ribosomal RNA
Source: RNAcentral
GACGAACCGUGCGAACGUUAUUCGGAAUCACUGGGCUUAAAGCGCGUGUAGGCGGGUCGGCACGUCGGCCGCUGAAAUCCCCCGGCUCAACCGGGGAAGUGGCGCCGAUACGACCGACCUGGAGGGGGGUAGGGGGAGCCGGAACUUCCGGUGGAGCGGUGAAAUGCGUUGAGAUCGGAAGGAACGCCCGUGGCGAAAGCGGGCUCCUGGACCCCACCUGACGCUGAGACGCGAAAGCCAGGGGAGCGAACGGG